ACAGUGAUGCCAGAGAGCCCUCGGCCCAGCUGGAGAUCAACGCUCACCUGAGGAGGGGUCGCGUCAAUCACCCAUCCCGUCCUGCUUGCCGCGCGCCCCCCGACACCGCCUAUUUACCCUCAAACAAAAGCGGCGUUCAACUUGAAAGCGCUGCGCGUGUGAGCGGGUGUGUGUCGCGAUGGCAGAAUAGAUUGAGCUGUCAGAGCAGUUGCUCAGAGGGAAGAUUAAUAACCAACACAAACAAUAACGUUCCCGCCAUCACCAUAAAUAUGCUAAUGACCGUUAUCAAUACAGCAGCUAAUGGAAGCGCAGGAAUUACAGAGACGGCCAAGAGACAGGGCACGAGGGUUAGCCAUUUAUUCACAGACCGCUCUGAUAAACCCACAGCGCGGUCCCUCAAUAAAAGCACCCACCCUUAAAAGCUAUCAGCUCGCGAGUAAAACAACACUUCAUUGUGCGAGUGUGUGUGUGCGCAAAUGAAGAGGUAAAGGAAUAUGCGUGCCAAGGAUUUAAUUAAGAGUCAACGGGCUCAAAACAACCUGGCUACAGAACUGAAGACCCUUGUGUCCCAACUCCCAGUGGUCAUGUGCCAGCCUAGCAACUACCAUUAAGAAGAAUGGGAAUGCUUCCACCGCAUGUUUCCAAUUGUCUCACUGGAGUUUUUGCAACUCAACAUAAAAUGUCGGAAUUUAAGUGAAGAAGGAGAACUGGAAAGGAGAGGAUGAGAAAGAGAAAAAAGAUAGGGAAAGAGGCAAGCAGCCAAAGGAAACAAGGACGCAUAACAUAUUCAAUUAGCAACUGAACCCCAGCCAGCAAUCUAUAUCAGACGGAGGAGAGGCGAGAAAGGAAGGUGCAGGAAGGGGAGAACACAUGGGAAAUCACUGCGCGCCACGGCACUGCAAACAUCUGUACCGUGAUCCACAGAGGAGCUGCUGAGAUACUGAGGGUCAAUAGAAAGGGGUCAGACAGGACAAAGACACUUGGAUGUGUCAUUUCCUCCCAUAAUCCUAUUCUUCCAACUUUCUUUUCAUAUUUUCUUUUUUUUUUUAAUACUGUGAUGCUGUUAGUCUAUUCAUUUUUUGGGGGAGGGGGGCAUUGAAAUAAGUCUCUUAUGCUCACCAAGGCUGCAGUUUAAGUGUUGUGUUUUUAAAAUGUCAUUUAUUCCUGAGAUGGCAAAGCUGAAUUUUCAGUGACCAUUCCUACAAUCUUUUAUUAUUUUAUUAUUUUCAGUGUUGAAAACGGUUGUGCUGCUUCAUAUAUUUGUGAAAACUGCGGUAUACUACCAUUUAAACGUUUAGGGUAAGUAUUAUUUUAUUAAAAAGAAAAUAAAUGUUUACUUUAUAAUGCAUAUAAAUACAUUUAUAAUGCUAUAUACUCAAAAAUAUUCCUUCAAUAUAAUAAUAAUUUAAAAUAAAUGCUGUUCAUUGAACUUUCUAUUUAUCCAAGAAUCCUGAAAAAAAAUGUACCAUAGUUUCCACAAAAUAUUAAGUAGCAAAAACCAUUAAUCAACAAAUAAAAGCCAUUAUUAAUAUUUGAGCACCGAUAAUAAUUGAGCAGCAAAUCGAUAUCAGUAUAUCAGAAUGAUCGUGUGACAUUGAAGACUCAAGUAAUAUAAUUUUAAAAUAUAUAUAAAAAUAGACAACACCUAUUUUAAAUUGUAAUAUUAUUUUACAAUAUUACCGUUUUAUUUUGUUUUGAUCAAAUAAAUGUUACCUUUGUGCACAUAAGAGAUGUCUUUCAAAAACAUACAAAAAAAAUCAUGAUUAUUCCAAACUUUAUUUCCAAACGGUAGUGUAUAUGAGCAGGUUUGCCAUUUACAACCAUUACUUUUUUUUCUUUACUGAGAUAAUGAGAGAGAUACAGCAUUGAAAUCUAUAUAAAGCGAUGUUUUGUCGUACACGAUACAUAUCCACAGCGGAGCUUUGUACAGUGUGUAUGUAUUAAUUAAGAGUUAUUAUGUAGUGUGUUAUGUAUUCAUCACAUUUUGUAUGUACCAAUUACAGCAGGAACUGCAGGUUAUUUUCAUAUCUACAUCAAUUACAUUAACAAACACUCUGACAUUAGAUUAUUUAUGCUUGCGUGUGCAACUGUUUGUGUGUGCGAGCACAGACAUCAUGAUAAUGAUAAUCUCAUCAGUGUCUGUGAUUACAGUAAUGAUGUUAGUACACAAAUGCACUGGUCUCUCAUUAGGAGAAUCUGUCCACGGGGCAGAGCAGGGGGGCUUGUGUCUAAAACCUAAUAUAUCAAAUCCACACGCAGCCACACAGAAUGCAGUUUAAGUGCAUGCUGACUGCGUACUAUCCAUAUAGCAAAAAAUGAUGCACAACAUUGCCAAAAGUGGACACACGAAUGGAAUGACCACAUACUUUUAGCCAUGUGGUAUCCUGUAACAAACAUUAACAGAAAAAAGUUGUGGUAUUGACAUUCUUUGUAGCUGUAAGCCUGUUCAACUGCUCAUUAAAGGAUUAGUUCACUUCUGAAUGAAAAUUUCCUGAUAAUUUACUCACCCCAUGUCAUCCAAGAUGUUCAUGUCUUUCUUUCUUCAAUUGAAAAGAAAUUAAGUUUUCUGAGAAAAACAUUCCAGAAUUUUUCUCCAUAUAGUGGACUUCACUGGGGUACAUACAUCAGGUGGAAGGUCCAAAUUGCUGUUUCAGCUUCAAAGGGCUCUACACACUCCCAGGCGAGGAAUAAGGGUCUUAUCUUGCAAAACGAUCGGUCAUUUUCUAAAAAUAAAAAAAAUUAUAUACUUUUUAACCACAAAUGCUUGUCUUGCACUAGCUCUUCAGGAGGUAAACCCCAAUGAAGUCCACUAUAUGGAGAAGAAUCCUAGAAUGUUUUCCUUUAAAAACCGUGAUAAGAAAGAUUUGGAUGACAUAGGGGUGAGUAAAUUAUCAGGAAAUUUUCAUUCAGAAGUGAACUAAUCUUUUACCGCAAAUAUCUA
Long non-coding RNA from Ctenopharyngodon idella (grass carp), 2941 nucleotides. RefSeq lists it as uncharacterized. The transcript has 3 exons. The record is from RefSeq and is a predicted model, not a curated record. NCBI's taxonomy places the organism in Eukaryota, Metazoa, Chordata, Actinopteri, Cypriniformes, Xenocyprididae.